GACACAGAGAGCCAUGGGGGGAGGUAGAGGGUGAACAGGUGGCCUCUCCAGGAAUCUCCUCUAGGAAUAGAGUCACACAGAGGAAGCCACUUUAAUUUUCUUGCAGAUGACAGAUUUACUCGCUGCUGUUGCAGGUUGCGUUGAGAGCCGCGGUCUUGCUUGAAUCAAAUAGAGGAGUUCAGCUCCUUCCUAAAGAAGUGUGUGCACACGUGGUUUUCACAAGGGCUUCAUCUUCUGUCUGCUCGCAGUCCCAGCCAGGGAACAUAAGGUCUUAGGAUUCCGCCGUGGGAAAACCCGCCACCUUCAACCGUCGUGCCUGACACAUCAUAAGUGCUCGAUAAAGCAAAGCCCCCUGUUGGGAGAGCUGGGUGGACAUGUGCACAGCGUGCAGAUGGCUCAUAACCAGCCCCGCUAGCAAGAGUCAGGAACACAUCCAGGGCUUCUGCUUUGGAAACGUCUAUUUGCAACCAAGGGAAAAAAGAGAAACACAACAACUGGUAUGUCAGUAAGUCACCCUCUAAGAAAACAUGUUUUCUGACACCUCCUCCGUGUUCAGAGAUAGCCUUUCUGAGCAAAGAGCACCUGUGCGCUAAGGAUUAUGGUUAGUCUGGGUGCCAUGGACUUCCUGUAGGCUGACCCCCUGCCCCACCAACAAUCUUCAUCCACGUCCUCAGACGCCCUGGGCAGCCCUCUCGCCAUGGCACGUGAAAUUCCCAAGCACUGUGGAGCGCCUGGAUGGCUCAGUCGGUUAAGCAUCCGAUUCUUGAUCUCAGCUCAGGCCCUGAUCUCAGGGUCAUGAGUUCAAGCUCCAUAUUGUGCCCUGCAAUGGGCGUGAAGCCUACUUUAAAUAUACAUAUAUAAUUCCCAAGCACUGAAUGUUUCAUCCAGCAGUUUUAGCACCAGAUCAUUAAGUGGAUUUGGGUUAAAGAGUCCCAUGCAUGAGUCCUUGCACAACGUGAGCUGAUUCUGUUCAGGACCAGACCGUAGAAUCGCCUGGUGAACGUCCCCAAAUGACAGUUGGUCUAGGGCCUGGAGUCUGGAGAUUCUGAUUCUUAGAGUCCCUCCAGUGAUUCAGGCAUCCUGGAUCCCUGGGACCCCGGCUGGAGCACAAUGCUGAUGAACGCUUGCUUUGGCCCACGAAGGCCAGUGCAAUUCCAGAACGUUCCCCUGCUUGCCCCUUAUCAAAUUGUCCAUUUUGUGCACCAUUUUCUUGGUUCCCAACUUGGUGUCGG
Long non-coding RNA from Neofelis nebulosa (Clouded leopard), 1232 nucleotides. RefSeq lists it as uncharacterized. The record is from RefSeq and is a predicted model, not a curated record. The transcript is spliced from 4 exons. Lineage: Eukaryota; Metazoa; Chordata; Mammalia; Carnivora; Felidae.